Molecule: ribosomal RNA, 441 nt
Filed under: uncultured bacterium
Lineage: Bacteria
Description: partial 16S ribosomal RNA
Rfam family: Bacterial small subunit ribosomal RNA
Source: RNAcentral
GCCUACGGGUGGCAGCAGUGGGGAAUAUUGCACAAUGGGGGAAACCCUGAUGCAGCGACGCCGCGUGAGUGAAGAAGUAUUUCGGUAUGUAAAGCUCUGUCAGCAGGGAAGAAAAUGACGGUACCUGACCAAGAAGCCACGGCUAACUCUGUGCCAGCAGCCGCGGUAAUACAGGGGGUGCAAGCGUUGUCCGGAAUCAUUGGGCGUAAAGAGUUCGUAGGCGGCACGUAAAGUCUGGUGUUAAAGGCAGAGGCUCAACUUCUGUACGGCACUGGAUACUUGCGAGCUAGAAUGCGGUAGAGGUAAAGGGAAUUCCUGGUGUAGCGGUGAAAUGCUUAGAUAUCAGGAGGAACAUCGGUGGCGUAAGCGCUUUACUGGGCCGUAAUUGACGCUGAGGAACGAAAGCCAGGGUAGCAAAUGGGAUUAGAUACCCGAGUAGUC